Molecule: long non-coding RNA, 870 nt
Organism: Podarcis muralis (Common wall lizard)
Lineage: Eukaryota; Metazoa; Chordata; Lepidosauria; Squamata; Lacertidae
Source: RefSeq, a predicted model, not a curated record
CCUUUCCGGAAGAGGAAACACCAUUCCAGGGAUAUGUUUUUUUAACCGCUUGUGGUUAUCUAUUUAAGCAUGCAUAUAAGAUCACUCAGGAACUGAUCUUCAAGAGGGAGUGCAACAAAGCGUUAGACGGGGCUCAGGGUUAAGUGGGUGACUCGGGGGCCAGAAAGAGUCUGCCUCGCACGGUUGUCAUGGCGAUGAAAUGGGACCAAUUCCACAAAAGUCACCUUGAGCUUCUCAGGCGGGAUUAUAAUAUGGCUGCUUAUAAAGCAGUGUUGGAUUUCUAUACAAGGAGCAAAAUGGCUUGCCUGCUCAGUCUUCACCUGCCAAGAAGGACAAGCCUAGAAGAGACUGUCCUGCCAAGGGCCAUCAAGCAAGUUUUGAUCAGCAGCAGGACUUGAACUCGGGACUUCCUGGUUCAGCGCUCGAUCCCUUGGUUACCACAUUACAAUGCCAUAGCCUUUCCCAGAUGCAUAUCUUUUGGGCAGUGCUGGCUGGAGCUGAUGGGAGUUGUAGCCCAAAGAUCUGGAAGGACUUUGGAACCUGGAAACUUAUCCGACUUCCCUGGACAGUUUGAAGGCUACAGGAGGACCAGAAAGCAGCAGCACUUCAUAGAUAAGGACAGAUGACCUUGCCAAACCCCAGCGCUCAUAACCAAGGAUCACCUCUUUUACAUCUUUACUUGAAAGUUCUUGCCAUAUUCACUUAUUCUUCCACCGUCUGCCUUCUGCUAAUUUAAAAGCGCAGGCAAUGCCUGUUCUUUCAGUUAAUAACAUGUUAAAAUACAUAAUCGCCUGACAAUGUAUUUUCACAAUUCAAAAGAUACCUCUCAUGCCGUCUUCAGACAUGCUAUUAAAACCCUUUUUUGUUUGU